Molecule: long non-coding RNA, 452 nt
Organism: Quercus robur (English oak)
Lineage: Eukaryota; Viridiplantae; Streptophyta; Magnoliopsida; Fagales; Fagaceae
Exons: 2
Source: RefSeq, a predicted model, not a curated record
CUAAAAUGUUUUGAAGCUUUUUUGAAAGCGAAGUUAGCUUCACCUUCAACAGCAUCACCUUCACCAUCAAGCACUGUUACAAAUCUUGACUGAUCUUGUUAGUGGAAAAUAUUGGAGCAACUUUCACUUGGAGUUUGGAAAUGGAAGCUCUUUUGUAAUAACUUUAGCUUGUAAUUCUGAUGUUCAAUGAUCUGGAGAUGUCUAAAAAUUUCUUCUUUGUUUGUGUUUGUGGGUUGGCCCUUUUUGUGUUAUUUGGUUUACUUCAAGAUAUUCUUUUCUGUUUUUUUGUUUUUUCCCUAAGAGUUCAUCUUAAUAUGUCUGGCAAUUCUGCUACUGCCACAGACUUGAAUAGGUGAAUCUUCAAUCUUUUCUCUUUUAAUUAUAUCCUUGUUUUGAUCAAAACAUUGGGAGCCCAGAUGGUUAUUUUGAUGGGAGCAGCAAUGUUGAUAGCA